This 497-nucleotide ribosomal RNA is filed under the name uncultured bacterium. Its description in RNAcentral is "partial 16S ribosomal RNA". It matches the Rfam family "Bacterial small subunit ribosomal RNA", at positions 28 to 507 of the family's 1533-position model. The record is from RNAcentral.
GACGAACGCUGGCGGCGUGCCUAAUACAUGCAAGUUGAGCGCUGAAGGUUGGUACUUGUCCCAACUGGCUGAGCAGCGAACGGGUGAGUAACGCGUGGGGCAUCUGCCUUUGAGCGGGGGACAACAUUUGGAAACGAAUGCUAAUACCGCAUAAAAACUUUAAACACAAGUUUUAAGUUUGAAAGAUGCAAUUGCAUCACUCAAAGAUGAUCCCGCGUUGUAUUAGCUAGUUGGUGAGGUAAAGGCUCACCAAGGCGAUGAUACAUAGCCGACCUGAGAGGGUGAUCGGCCACACUGGGACGGAGACACGGCACAAACGCCCACGGGAGGGAGCAGUAGGGAAACGUGGGGCAGGGACGAAAGACUGUCCGAGCAACGCGGCGGGAGGGAAGAAGGUUUUCGGAUCGGAAAACUCUGUUGGUAGAUAAGAACGCUGGUGAGGGUGGAAAGCUCAUCAAGUGACGGUAACUACACAGAAAGGGACGGCUAACUACGUG